This 506-nucleotide ribosomal RNA is filed under the name uncultured bacterium. Its description in RNAcentral is "partial 16S ribosomal RNA". It matches the Rfam family "Bacterial small subunit ribosomal RNA", at positions 28 to 507 of the family's 1533-position model. The record is from RNAcentral.
GACGAACGCUGGCGGCGUGCUUAACACAUGCAAGUCGAACGGUGAAGGGACUGGUUUUGCUGGUCCUGGAUGAGUGGCGAACGGGUGAGUAACACGUGAGUAACCUGCCCCCUUCUUCUGGAUAACCGCAUGAAAGUGUGGCUAAUACGGGAUAUUCUGGGUCUGUCGCAUGGUGGGCCUGGGAAAGAUUGCGCCUUUUUUGGUGUUUUUGGUGGGGGAUGGGCUCGCGGCCUAUCAGCUUGUUGGUGGGGUGAUGGCCUACCAAGGCGGUGACGGGUAGCCGGCCUGAGAGGGUGGACGGUCACACUGGGACUGAGACACGGCCCAGACUCCUACGGGAGGCAGCAGUGGGGAAUAUUGCACAAUGGGCGCAAGCCUGAUGCAGCGACGCCGCGUGAGGGAUGGAGGCCUUCGGGGUGUGAACCUCUUUCGCCAGUGAAGCAGGCCUGCCUCUUUUUGUGGGUGGGUUGACGGUAGCUGGAGAAGAAGCGCCGGCUAACUACGUG